Molecule: long non-coding RNA, 748 nt
Organism: Chelonia mydas (Green sea turtle)
Lineage: Eukaryota; Metazoa; Chordata; Testudines; Cheloniidae
Exons: 3
Source: RefSeq, a predicted model, not a curated record
GGGAUACACAGCAGGCCCACCACAGUCCCCAGACUGCACACCGGGGGGAUCUAGUUACAUAGAGUGUUAGGGUUCUUAGGGAUUGGCUUGUUUUGGCCUUGUUUUGAAAUGGCAUUAGCUUGAUUUUUGGCUUAUUGUGAAAGUUGGGGUGCUUAUUUACCACAUGAGAGUUGGCAACUGUGAUUCACUCCUGUGGAAAUGCUUAUAGCUGUCACAAUCAGAGGAUUAUGGCUUCAGAUGAGGAAUAAAGAGUAGAUGAACAUGAUAAUUUAGGAACAUAGUUCCUCUUUUCAUACUCAUGUUCAGAGUCAUAAACAGAUCUGACCACAAUUUUGUAUCAGCAUUUUUUGGGAUGAAAUGGCAGUUUUCUCAUGAACAUUUCUCUUUUCACCAAAACUGUGAAGUGGUUUGCUUGAAAAGUGAAAACUUUAAAAAAAAGAAAGAUUGAUUUAGGUGUUUUUUGGCAAAAACCUGAAAACUUUCCUCAAAAAUGUUACUGGAAAAUAAAGUAAAUUUUCCAACCAGCUGUAGUAACAAACCACUUUUCUUCCCUUAUUUAUUUAUUUUAAGAAACAAAAGCUCUGUGGCCUAUCCUCACCCUUAUCAGCAAUCCAGAUAUAAACCUCCUUUACAACAAUUCUGAAAAAAGGUGGGCUUUUGCCUGCCCUCAGUUCAGCUACCCAAUCCAAGCAUAUCUUCUCCCCCGUUAUGCCCCACGUAAUUCCUCUUUCUCCAACCCACUUUUGUA